Hippocampus comes (tiger tail seahorse) is the source of this 649-nucleotide long non-coding RNA. RefSeq lists it as uncharacterized. The transcript has 3 exons. Lineage: Eukaryota; Metazoa; Chordata; Actinopteri; Syngnathiformes; Syngnathidae. The record is from RefSeq and is a predicted model, not a curated record.
GGUAACUCGACGACGCUGAGGACAAAAUUCAGCUUGCCUGGGUGCCGAAGGCAGGAGCUGCGAGUUCGAGAGACGAUGGACAUAAAUACUCCACCGAGGCCUAGCAAUGCUUAUUUUGAUUUGGGGAUUUGGGAUCAGAACUCAAGAUCACCGCAGUCAUGACCGUAAGUUUGAGGAAAACUGAGACAGCACAAGGACAGGAACGUUGCCCCACUGAGAAGAACUCAGUUGUGUAGUAGUAUGUCAAAAAAAAAAAAAAAAAAGUAGCUUGCUUUACUGGAGCAACAGUGCCGCUUUCUGGAUGAAAGUUGCAACCCUCUUGACUUGUGGAAAAGUGAAACUAAAUCCCAGCCACACAUCAUUGCUUUAUUUUGUUUCGGGGUUUUCUUUCUCCCAAGAUGGUAUAUUUUCAUUGAUGUUUGUUGUUGAACAAAAAUUAGUGGAGGGAUGGCGCACGGACCAAUGAGAACCGAAUAUGAUUUUUGUAUCUGUGGAGUAAUUACCGGGUUAUUUUUAGCCUAUAUAAUUAAUAUGGCUCGAGCAAAAAAAUAACAAUAAUAAAUACUCAACCACGAAAGCCUUGACAUGAUGGUGCCUCGUCAACACCAAGAACUCCUCUUUGCUAAAUAACUAAGAGAAAAGAAAAUGA